Chlorocebus sabaeus (green monkey) is the source of this 2730-nucleotide non-coding RNA. The record is from RefSeq and is a predicted model, not a curated record. NCBI's taxonomy places the organism in Eukaryota, Metazoa, Chordata, Mammalia, Primates, Cercopithecidae.
CAGCUUGCUGCCGGCAGAGGCGGGGUCACGGGGGCCUUGGUCCUGCCGGCCUGGAAGACCCACGCCCGCGCCCUCCGGGGUGCCCGGCCCGGACGCUCUCCUGCCCGGCGGAGGCCGCCCUCCCCCGCCCCGCACUUGUCCCGCCCCGCCAGGGUGGCCGCCCGCGCCUCACUUGUCUCUCACGGCCUGGAUGGCCUCCGCUGCACUCUCGUAGUUGUGCUUCUCCAUGUGCCGGUACAUGGUGCUCAGCUCCACCUGGCGCCGGAAGUAGAUGUCCACGGAGCUCUGCUUCACCGUGGCGUAGAUAAACUUGUCCGAGGGGUUCCUCAGCUGCAGGGUCGGAGGGCAGGGCUCGCGGCGGCGGCUCCCCAGGCCCCUCCCCGAGGCCGACCCCCGCUCAUCUCGCAUUCCCUCCCCCAGCCCGGCCAGGCCUCACCCGAGGGUCGUUGAUGCCGGUGAUGCGCUCCUCCGGCCGGUCCAGCACCAGGAAGGCCGCCAGGUUGGCGGUGUAGGAGGCCACGAUAAUCAUGGCAAAGCCGGCCCACACCAUGCCCAGGAUACGCGCCGAGAAGCUUCUGGGGGCGCCUGUGGGCGGGCGGGGGGCUCUGUCAGACCCUAGAGGGCCGGGGCGGGGCCGGGCGGGCCGGGCGGGGCCUUACCUUCCCCGAUGCCGGAGUUGAGCAGGACGCCCCAGGAGAACCACAUGGCCGAGGACAGGGUCAGUGCGUCCUCCUCCUCCUCCUCGCUGUUCACCUUGAACCGGCCGAAGGGGCUGCGGGGCGCAGAGGGCGGGCGGGAGAGAGGGCGGGAGAGGCGGCCCUACCCCGCCCCUCGCCGGCCCCGCCCCCCCGAUGGAGGUGUCUGAGCCCCGGGUCGCGCUCACCUGAAGCGGUCCAGCAGGUACAGCAUCACGGCCACCACGUGCACCGACAGCCCCACCAGCAGCCACAGUGUGCUCUGGAACGGCUGCAUGAACGAGUCCAGCGUGCUCCGGGGGAUUUCCUGCAGGGGGACGCGAGGUCAGCGCGGCCCGGGCCCUCCAGGGACCCCCAGCCAUCCGGCCUCUGCACACCUUCUUGACCAGAAUAGUCAGGCCCUGGUACUUGAAGGGCUUGGAAAACUCGAUGUACUGCGCGCGCUCGUUGUUGAUGGUUAGCGGCGCCACGAUCAUGUCUGCCUGCCCGCUGAGCAGCUCGCCCAUCAUCCCAUUCCACUCCUUCUUGUUGCUGUUGUUCACCUGCGAGGCCACAGAGCCGGCGGGGAUGCAGGCAGCGUCCACCCAGCUCCCGCCACAGGCCCCUCUCACGCUGGUCCCCACCCCGGCCGUCCAGCCUACCCGCUCCUGUGUGCCGAACUUGCCAUCUGCCACCAGGUGCACCUCGUAGGUGAAGUUCAUGGUCCGUGCCAGCUUGAUGAGCAGGUCGAUGCAAAAGCCGUAGCAACACUGAGGCACCGUGUGGCGAGCUGAGUAGGUGCGGGCGGUAACUGCUGGGCUCCAGACCGCCCUGCGCCCCGCGCCCUGUCCCGCGCCCCACGCCCUGUCCCGCGCACUCACGGCUGCCCGGAGACGUGUCGUUGGGCCCGGUGCAGAUCACCUUCUUGACUGGGUCGCCAUUGACUGUGAACUCCUCCUUGCAUGUCCCAUCACUCAGCGUGGGCUUGACGUACACGAAAGGCUCCUGGUGGAUCGUCACAAUCUGGGGGGGAAGGGGAGACCCAGCUGGACCACCGACCUAGGGCUGCCCAGGGCGGCAGUCUCUUCUCAGUUCCCAGCCUCCCCUGGCGCCCCUCUUAAUCCCCGACGCCCCCUCCUCCCCCGCCCUGCGCUGCUGGCCACUGCCCCUCUUUGGAGCUUCUUCAGGAGCCCAGGUGUUCAGGACACACCCACCAUCAGCAUCAUCUGCUUGCAGCCCCGGGGGAUGGGGGCUGGGGGCUCGGAAAAGACUGCUGGAACGCUAGACCCUUCUCUUGGCCACUUUUCCUCUAGUCUUGGCUUAGACGUGAUUCCCUCCAGCAGGGGAGCCGCUGAUGUCCCUUGUAUGCCAGCCAUCUUCCCGGGGUGAGAAACUGCCCAGCCUGCAGGCUGACUCCCACCCUGCUGUGCCACGAGGACAGGGGCACGUCCACGAAGCCGACCCUGCGCCUGCACAGGACCUGGGACCCGAGGGGGCACCCACCCGUGCCUCCCUUCAUCCCGGUGCCCUGACUGUCCUGGCCCCCAGCUCCGCAGCCUUCAGGCUUUGAGCAUAGGUCUUUGGCUCCUUCCUUUUGCCGGAGUGGACAUGUUCCACCGCUCCGUGGCCUCUUCAAACCACACUCCUGCUUGGGCUCACCCUCCUGUCUGUCCUUCAGGGGACCAUGGCCUGGGGGUGGGGAAGGGAUCUGGGGCACAGAGAGCUGGAAUGGAGCAUAGCACACUGCCAGAACUCUGAGGGGAGAUGAUAUCAGAGCUGAGCCCUCAAGGUGGGCAGGGAUCAAGCAGGUGCCCGAGGGCAGGUGGAGCAGAGGUGCCUGCAGUCCAGAACUGCAAAGGCAGGGAGGUGUGGGGGUGGUGGAAGAGGCACCCUCCCGGCAUGUCCUAGGGAGGGUGAGCCUGAGAGCGGUGCAGGCUCAACCUCAGCCUCCAGGCAGCAUUUCGUCUUUUAUCCCCAGGGGGAUCAGGAGCCAUUGAAGAAGUUGAUUUUCUUUUCCUUUUUUUCUUUUUUCGUUUUUUUAUGAGAUGGAGUCUUG